UUCAAAGCAGGCCUAUGCUCGAAUACAUUAGCAUGGAAUAAUAGAAUAGGACGUGCGGUUCUAUUUUGUUGGUUUCUAGGACCGCCGUAAUGAUUAAUAGGGACAGUCGGGGGCAUCAGUAUUCAAUUGUCAGAGGUGAAAUUCUUGGAUUUAUUGAAGACUAACUACUGCGAAAGCAUUUGCCAAGGAUGUUUUCAUUAAUCAGGAACGAAAGUUAGGGGAUCGAAGACGAUUUUUAACUAUACUGUACUGGUAUUUGGUCGUCGAGAAUCAGGCGGAAGCCUGGUUAGUCCGUAUGUUCGUACGGGCGACACCGUCAAAUUGCGGGGACCCUCUUAGAGCCUGCUGCCACACCUAACCCCUAGAAAUAGGGGCUAGUCGUAAAAGCGCACAGGAUUGAGUGAUCCGCAGCCAAGUCCUUCUUGCCCCCCCUCCAGGGGCAAUGGAUGCAGUUCACAGACUAGAUGUCGGUGGGGGGUUCGCACUGAGCCUCAUAAGAUAUAGUCGAUUCCGUCCUGAAAAGGGCGGUGGGAAAGCAGAUACCGUCGUAGUCUUAACCAUAAACUAUGCCGACUAGGGAUCGGACGAUGUUAUUUUUUGACUCGUUCGGCACCUUACGAG
This 621-nucleotide ribosomal RNA is filed under the name Peroneutypa diminutiasca. RNAcentral describes it as "partial 18S ribosomal RNA". It matches the Rfam family "Eukaryotic small subunit ribosomal RNA", at positions 774 to 1094 of the family's 1831-position model. Lineage: Eukaryota; Fungi; Ascomycota; Sordariomycetes; Xylariales; Diatrypaceae. The record is from RNAcentral.